ACUUACAGCAGCUUGAUAAUCUUCCGAGGUAGCACCUGUAUCAGCUAAUUCGCCGUGGAUUGGAUCACCCUUCGGCUUCUUAUAACUAGCUGACAUGUUCUUCAGGCGCCAGAGGACAAAGUUCAUCUGCUUGGUGGGUUUAGAACUCACCUUAGUUUCUGUGAGAUUAUACUCAUGGAGUACCCAAUUGGUCUUCUUUGAUUUCGGCAGACGACCUUCGUAGAAUGUCAGAAUCCUCUUCUUCCCAAUCACAGCUUUGGAUUCUUCAGCCCUGAUCUUACGAUCCAUUCCUGUGAUCUUGUAAAAGCCUUGACCCGUGGUCCGGUUGCAGCGAGUGCCGUUGUACUUGUAAUCGAGCCGGCUAAAGAAGAACCACUCCUUCCCAUGAACUUCUGGGAAGAAUGCUGAAAUCCAACAACAAAACAAAAUUUUCAAAUUUUGAAACCAACCCACUCCAACUCUUGAAGAACAAAAAACACAAAUACUGAAACAAGAUCAUAAAUUUUUGGGUGCAACAAUAUUAUACAAUAGGAAAGAGAUACGGAUCGGCUAUUUAAAGGGAAAUUAAAUCGAAAUGCAACACAAAACAAAAUUUUUGUUUCUUGAUACAACACAAAACAAUAUAUUGAAAUUGAAACCAACCCACUUCAAUUCUUGAGGUACAAGUGAUAUUACUACUUUAAGCUAUACUAAGGGGAGGGAGGAGGGUUUGAACCCGGAACAUCGAACUCCAAUUCUUGAGGUACAAAAACACGAAAACUGAUAAGACCAUAAAUUUAUGCAUACAACAUCAUACAAUAGAAAUAGAGCACUGGAAUCACCACAGAAAACAACAAAUCGAAACCAACCAAAUUCAAUUCUGAAUGAAGAAAAACAGAAAAACUGAAACAAGAUGGUAUAGAUUUACAUAAACAACGGCAGAAUCCAUUGGAAACAAGAUGUAUGGCUAGUGAAGAAAAAGUGAGAUAGAUUAAUGGGUUUACCAGGAAUAUCGCAGGGCUCGUACUUGCAGACAUCGAUUUCAGGGAUGACGUGGCGGAAAUGGGAGUCCGUCCCCUCUAUCUUGUUCUUCAGGUAGUAGCUGACCAGUAACUCAUCAGUGGGGGAGAAUCCGAACCCAGGUAGUCGGCUCACAUUCACACGCAUUGCAUCUCCUUCUUCAGGUGCGACGCUGCCGCUCAUCUCUCUCUCUCUCUCUCUCUCUCUCUCUCAACUUUGAACUGUGAUUAUCGAUCAGUGUUUUGGAUUGUGUGGGGAUGCAGAAUGAGUGAAGUUGUAUUUAUAUACGCUCAUCAAAGACCCACUUUUGAAAGUUGACUAGUGUUUUACCACGUCUUUGAGCUCGUGGUGCAAGUUCAUCUUUUGCUCCCUACACUUACGGGAUUUCUUUCAUUUUGGUCUUCUAAUUAUUUCUUAUAAUUUAUUUUAUUUGAGUUAUAUUAUAAUUUAAUUUAAAUUACAGUGUGAUAAAUUUUAACUUAGGUGAUGAAAUGAGAGUAUAUUGUUUUAGCUAACUUAGCUACGGUUAAUUUUACACGAUUUUAAUUACAAAUCAUAUUACUCUAGGCAACAACACUAAGAGAUGUAGGAGAUUAUAUACCCUAGGCUAGUGGGCUGAAGAAUAAAAUCCUAUCUAAACAAGACAAUCUUCCACUUAGUUUUUAUUACAAUUAGAAACCAUUUGAAUUGAAUUGCACACACCAUUUAUUAAUUUUUACAAGAAAUGACAGCGAGAUUUUAUUUAUCAAUCAACAAAUUAUACAUUUACAAAAGUGCCAAAUGUGUAAAUGUAUCAUCCCACAUCACCCAGGGGAGUGGAUCAUGUAAGCCUUAUAUGUAUAUUCUCAUCUCUACCUAGCACGAGACCUUUUGGGAGCUCACUGGCUUUGGAUUCCAUCGGAACUCCGAAGUUAAGCGAGUUCGAGCGAGAGCAUUCCCAUGAUGGGUUACCCAUUGGGAAGUUCUCAUGUGAGUUCCCAAAAACAAAACCAUGAGAGCGUGGUUGGGGCCCAAAGUGGACAAUAUCGUGUUACGGCGGAGUUGAGCCUGGGAUGUGGUGGGGGCCUGGGUCGGGAUGUGAUAGUUUGGUAUCAGAGCCAAUCAUUGGCCGGAUGUAUGCCGACGAGGACGUCGGGCCCCUAAGAUGGGUGGAUUGUAUCAUCCCACAUCGCCUAGGGGAGUGGAUCAUGUAAGCCUUAUUUGUAUAUUCUCAUCUCUACCUAGCACGAGGCCUUUUGAGAGCUCACUGAAUUCGGGUUCUGUAGGAACUUCGAAGUUAAACGAGUUCGCGCGAGAGCAAUCUCAUGAUGGGUGACCACUGGGAAGUUCUCUUGUGAGUUCAUAGAAACAAAACCGUGAAGGCGUGGUUAGGGCCCAAAGAGGACAAUAUCGUGCUACGACGAAGGCAGGGCCCGGGAUGUGAUGGGGGCCUGGGCCGGGAUUAGGCCUGGCAAACGGGUCGUGUUUAUCGUGUUCGUGUCGUUUUUGUGUAACACCUGUUAUCUUAACGGGUAGUGUCGUGUCACACCCGUUAUCUUAACGGGUCCUUAACAGGUCGGGUCACUUUACCCAACGAAUAAAAUGACCUGACCCGUUAAGAAAAAUAUUUUUUUUUCCUUAAAUUUGCACAUACCACACAUUGCCACAUAAAUAUUACUUCAAAACGUUAAAACACAUUUGUCGUUUAAGUAUUACAUCUACACUCGAAAAUAAGAGCCUAAUAAACAAAUAUCCAUACACUACUAAUCUAUUACAAAAUAUUAAAUGUGCAAGGAUAUGCAAAAUGAAAGAGUUUUUGUUUUCAAGGUUGUGAAGCCUUUCUCAAAAGUUUAAACAUUGGCAAUGGAACUCAAAGCUUGCAUGUUAUUCCUUUUACAAAAUCCUCAACUUUCAUCGAUCAUCAUGACAUAAGAUUUUGUGGUAUCCACUAGUGUAAAUAUUUUAAAUUGAAGAUCGAAUUCAUUCAUUGUAUUCAUAUAGGGUCAAGGAGUGUAGCUGUAAAAAAUCAUCAAAAUCGAAGUUAAAAGAACCAUCAAAUCGUGAUUUUUCGUUGAUAACUGUCGAAAAAUUUUGUCCCGUUACUUGAUCUCUGAAUGUUUGUUUUUUGUGAUUUUUGGCGUAUGCGAUCUUGAAGAAUAUACAGACAAGUUUCAUUGUUGGAUCAUUGAAAUUAGUUUCGUAGAAUGUGUAUUCCAUCAAAAUGAUAGAUUCACUAACACUUAGAAUUUAUUUAUACUUUCAUUAAGUAUAACAUAAGAUUUUAUGGUAUCCACUAGUGUAAAUAUUUUAAAUUGAAGAUUGAAUUCAUUCAUUGUAUUCAUAUAGGGUCAAUGAGUGUAGUUGUAAAAAAAUCAUCAAAAUCGGAGUUAAAAUAACUGUUAAAUCGUGAUUUUUCGUUGAUAACCGUCGAAAAGUUUUGUCCCGUUACUUGAUCUCUGAAUGUUUGUUUUUUUGCAAUUUUUUGGUGUAUGCGAUCUUGAAGUAUAUACAAACAUAUUUGACGGUUGGAUCAUUGAAACUAGUUUCGUAGAAUGCGUAUCCCAUCAAAACAAUAGAUUCACUAACACUUAAGACUUUAUUCAUACUUUCAUUAAGUAUAACAUAAGAUUUUGUGGUAUCCACUAGUGUAAAUAUUUUAAAUUGAAGAUCGAGUUCAUUCAUUGUAUUCAUAUAAGGUCAACGAGUGUAGCUGUAAAAAAUCAUCAAAAUCAGAGUUAAAAUAACCGUUAAAUCGUGAUUUUUCGUUGAUAACCGUCGAAAAGUUUUGUCCCGUUACUUCAUCUCUGAAUGUUUGUUUUUUGUAAUUUUUGGCGUAUGCGAUCUCGAAGUAUAUACAAACAUGUUUGACGGUUGGAUCAUUAAAACUAGUUUCGUAGAAUGCGUAUCCUAUCAAAACAAUAGAUUCACUAACACUUAAGAGUUUAUUCAUACUUUCAUCAAGUAUAACAUAAGAUUAUCUGGUAUCCACUAGUGUAAAUAUUUUAAAUUGAAGAUCAAGUUCAUUCAUUGUAUUCAUAUAGGGUCAAGGAAUGUAGCUGUAAAAAAUCAUCAAAAUCGGAGUUAAAAUAACCGUUAAAUCGUGAUUUUUCGUUGAUAACUGUCGAAACGUUUUGUCCCGUUACUUGAUCUUUGAAUAUACAAACAAGUUUGACGGUUGGAUCGUUGAAAUUAGUUUCGUGGAAUUCGUAUCCCAUCAAGUUCAAUGGUGUAUAUACAUUUAUUAAGUAGAUUUAAAUUUAUUUAUUUUGUACAUAUAAUAAGAAAUUGAAUGGUCUAUAUAUUUAAGCUGAUCCAAUGGUCUUUAAUAUUUAAUUUAAUAUAUAUAUAUAUAUAUAAUUAUUAUAGUUUUUAAGGGUAUAAAAUUGUUAAAUUAAUAUAUAUAUAUAUAUAUAUAUAAUUAUUAUAGUAUUUUUUUGGGGUUAUAAAAUUAUUAAAUUAAUAUUUUGCUUAUCGUGUAUCGUGUUACACACGUGUAUACCCGAACCAACCCGUUAUCUUAACAGUUGCUUAUCGGGUUACCCGAUUACGACUCGAUUCAUUAUCGUGUCGACCUGAACACCUGUUAAUUUCGUGUCGUGUCGGAUUAUCGGGUCAUGUCAAGAAUUGCCAGGCCUAGCCGGGAUGUGACAAUUAAGGAUUAAUAAUUUUAAUUUUAAUCUAGAGAUAAUUUACAUAGAUAUACAAAAAUAGUAAAUUUCCUAUAUGGCAACCACCGCAUGAUAUGAACCGUAGUAGGAUUCUCUCCCUCCUAUUCUUAUCCCCUUCUCUCUCCGCUUUUCACACUUUAUUUUUUACCUUAUUGUCUCUAUAAACAAAAUUAAUGUAAGAUGUUGAUGUAAUUUAAUUGUUCAAGUAGGAAGGGAUGAAAGGGAAGAGAAUCCCGAUUCCAAACGUAAAAGUACUUCUAAAAGCUAAACUUCCAAGAGGGGUUGUCUCCCAGUCCCUCAAAGGGAAAGGAAAAAGGAAAACUGCCAAGAGGGGUUGAUCAAAAGGGCAAAAUAUAUUAAAGAAACAAAACGCGUGGCACCUCAGCUGACUUGUUUAGAAACCCAGGACUUAAUUGGUUGGGAUCAAAUACUACUGGAGUAUUCUGAAGUGAGUAAACUACUUGCAGUUGCAUCUUCUUCUCAGUUCACACACAUAAACACAUGGGAACAUUGGGAAGCAACAGAAAAACAAGAGGAGGAGGGGUUUCAGACCCGGUAGGGUUCAGAUUCUACCCCACUCCGGAUGAAAUGGUGGACCAUGAAGAGAAUAAUAGAGUAUAUAAAAAUGUGAAAGAUGUUAACAGUUAGUUAAAGUUACUGUUGUAAUAAUUUCUUUUACUUGAAGCUCAAGAAACAGGACAAGGAUUUCAAAUCUGAUACAUGGGAGUUGGAAAGCCUUGCUCACAAAAAUAAUCGUUCCUUGUUUGUGAAGGCAGAGCAUCACGUCACUACGUCUACUGUGCAUGUCCAUGUCCAUGAGGAGUGACAACUGACAAGAAUGUUGACAAAGUUAUAACAGAUGUCGAAUUUACAAACGUGUGCGGAAAUGCCUUUGAGUGUGGAUCCCACCACUUCCUAUCAUGUCUUUUACUUUGUAAUUGGAGAUGGAAAAGCCAAAAUUCAAGCUUGUACUAUUCUUUUCUUCCCUAGAGACGACUAUCGAUUUUUCUUGAGUAGCAUAUCAAUUUGGUAUCCACAUGUAUUUGAUUAUAAAGUUGAUCUUAUUGGUUUUAAUUGAGGGUUUGAAAAUCGUUAGAUCAAAUUCAAAAAUCCUAUACUUGUCAAACGUUGUACCUAUAAGUCGAGAAGAAAAAUUAGUUUGAGAGUGUUGACGGAAACUUGUAAUUUGAGAAUAAAUUUCUUCCAUCACAAGUUCGCCGUUACCCGAAAAGAAUAGGGUUUGUUAUUUAAGUUUGGACCCGUUCACGAUUAAUUGUAAUUUUGUAAUGUGCCACAAGAGAAACACUCUUUGAUUAAAAUUACGAAGAAAUGUCAUUUAAGGGGAAUGAUGGUUUGUUUGAUUUUGUAGCUUGCCUACGUAUCCUUUUUUAGGAGAAUCAAGUCGACUCGUAAUUCAAUGAAAUUUGGAUGGCCAUUUAGAGAACUUGGAUCCUCUCCUGAGCUAAUGGAGAGGAUCCUCCUGACCAAGUGUUAUGGGUCGUUAGAUUUUCAUCUAACGGGUAUAAUUAUUAUAACUUUAAAAGGACCCACCUGUUUGUAGUCGUUGAAUAAAAAUCCAACGGCCCACAACUCUUGGUUAGGAGGAUACUCUCCAUUAGCGUAGGAGAGGAUCCAAAUCCCCAUUUAGAUAUGGUGUUUGAAGUGUUUGGGGGUAAAUUUGGUUGUGGUUGUGUCUAGAAUCUAGUACUAGACUGGCUAUAUAUUUUUUGUGGGUCCAAACCAAUCAAAGUGGAUUUUGGUGAGACUUCUUGCCAUUUGAGUGCGGCUUUGUGCCUUUUUAAUUUUAGAGCGACUUUGUGCCUUUUUAAUUAAUUGGGCAGUUAACGAAAAUUUGGCCUUUAAUUUUAGAGCGACUUUGUGCCUUUUUAAUUAAUUGGGCAGUUAACGAAAAUUUGGCCUAUUAAUUUGUAGUGGCGCAAGUCCAAUAAUUGGAGAUGGCAAGUUCAUCGUUUGAACAAAAAAAAAAAGAUAAAAAAAAGAGAGAGAUGGCGAGUUCAUCGAGGUUUGUGCUUUGAGUUGAUUCGUAUCAAAAUAUGUCUGAGGAGUUGUCUUCACACCCAUUAUAUUUGUAUUUGAUAACCGGGUUGAUUUAGAAUUAUCUUUUAGUCUCGAUGCCUCUUCCAUUUUUUAGCCCAACACUUAACAAAUAGGCAAAAAUGAUGAGAUCAAACAUAUAUUCUGAAAUCACUUGACUAGGGGCAUCAAAAUAACUCAAAGUUGCUAAUCAUGAAUGUCACUCAUAAACAUAGGAGAAAUCACUCAACUCUAAUUGCAAAAUUGCGGAGAAUAUGCUUCUCUUUGUUAUACACCUUAUUUUGCUUAUGCUGCCACUAGCUAAAACUAUUAUUCCCUAGAUUAAACCACUAGAAAUCAUCAUAAAGCUGAAACCAAACUUAAACUCAAACAACUGAAUACAAUAAUUCAAAAUAAUUAUUCAGUAGCAAUUACAUAUUCCAAUUAUAUCCGAAUGCCCUAAAUUAGUGCGCCUCUUUCCAAUAUUGAUAGAGAUUUUAAGUUUGAUUGGAAUAUUCUCCCCUCGUUUACAUAAAGAAAAAGCUGUUGUAAAUUUGCAUUCAUUCGAUGUGGACUUGUUCUACUUUCUCAGAUUUUAUCAUGUGAGUUGCUGAAACUAUGGACUCCUGAUUACAGCUGAAUAUCCUUCCGGUCUUUUUUCUUCUUAGUUGGGUGUGACAUAGAUAACACAGUUAUGUUAUAAAAUCGUGCAGAUUUUUAGCAUUAUUUUGGUUCCAAUUUCUAACUUGAUUGGAAGCCAAAAGGAACUUAAAGCCGAUCAAUCACGUUAAAACAUAUGGCAAUGCUUGAUGAGCUUUUAGAUAAGACGUCCCAAGUGAGAUGAGUAUCGGCCUUUGGGGGAGGGCGGAAAAGAGCCCCGACACAUCAAAAUGCGCUAAGUCAAUACUCUAGUGAAUUUUCCUCUUCUAUUGCUCCCUAACUAAAGGAAAGAGUGGAAACAAUUUUUUCUUCUUGUGUGGACUGAAAAAUGAGAAGAGAAUAUAACACAAAAUUCCACUGAAAUUGAAAGGUUUUAAAUAAACAACAUUAACAGCAAUACUACAUGAAAGGAGUACAGAAAAAAGAAGAAAUGCUGCACAGGAACGCAGCAGCUAAUGCAGGGAAAUUAAUUAAAGCAAUACUUACUAGAGAUCAGAGUUUCAAUCUGAAGGUUAUCAAAGAAGUAUCCCAGAUGUUCCACUGGCUCUGCAAUCACAUCACUCACAGCAGCUUGAUCAUCUUCCGAGUUAGCACCUGAAUCAGCUAAUUCGCCGUGGAUUGGAUCAUCUUUCGGCUUCUUAUAACUAGCUGACUUGUUCUUCAGGCGCCAGAGGACAAAGUCCAUCUGCUUGGUGGGUCUAGAACCCACCUCAAUUUUUGUGAGAUAAUACUCAUGGACUACCCAAUCGGUCUUCUUUGAUUUCGGCACACGACCUUCGUAAAAGGUCAGAAUCCUCUUCUUCCCAAUCACAGCUUUGGAUUCUUCAGCCCUGAUCUCACGCUCCUUCCCUGUGAUCUUGUAAAAGCCUUGAUCCGUGGCCCGGUUGCAGCGAGUGCUGUUGAUGUACUUGUAGUCGGGCCGGCUGAAGAAGAACCACUCCUUCUCAUGAUCUUCUGGGAAGAAUGCUGAAAUCCAACAACAAAACAAAAUGUUCAAAAUUUGAAACCAACCCACUCCAACUCUUGAAGAACAAAAAACACAAACACUGAAACAAGAUCAUAAAUUUUUUGGUGCAACAAUAUUAUACGAUAGGAAAGAGAUAUGGGUUGGCUAUUUAAAGGGAAAUUAAAUCGAAAUGCAACACAAAACAAUAUAUUGAAAUUGAAACCAACCAACUUCAAUUCUUGAGGUACAAGUGAUACUACUACUCUAAGCUAUACUAAGGGGAGGGAGGAGGGUUUGAACCCGGAACAUUGGACUCCAAUUCUUGAGGUACAAAAACACAAAAACUGAUAAGACCAUAAAUUUAUGCAUACAACAUCAUACAAUAGGAAACAACAAAUCGAAACCAACCCAAUUCAAUUCUGAAUGAAGAAAAACAGAAAACUGAAACAAGAUGGUAUAGAUUUACAUAAACAACGGCAGAAUCCAUUGGAAACAAG
Molecule: long non-coding RNA, 8783 nt
Filed under: Malus domestica (apple)
Lineage: Eukaryota; Viridiplantae; Streptophyta; Magnoliopsida; Rosales; Rosaceae
Source: RNAcentral